This 30-nucleotide transfer RNA is filed under the name Homotherium latidens (European saber-tooth cat). RNAcentral describes it as "partial tRNA-Leu". The record is from RNAcentral. Lineage: Eukaryota; Metazoa; Chordata; Mammalia; Carnivora; Felidae.
GUUAGGGUGGCAGAGCCCGGUAAUUGCAUA